ACAUAAAAAAUUCACCCACACAAAAAAAAGUGCUUCAUUGUCUAUCAAGAAUACAUGAUAAUUUAUUUUGUAAAUUUUAAGAACAUAUUAAAACUUAGAAAACUUAUUUCAAAUCACAAGCAAAUUUAUCUCUUUAAUCACAUUUAAAGUCAAGAAUGUAAAUAUUAAGAACAUGCUAAAAUAUUAGAAAACUUACCUCAAAUCGCA
Molecule: long non-coding RNA, 207 nt
Filed under: Capsicum annuum
Lineage: Eukaryota; Viridiplantae; Streptophyta; Magnoliopsida; Solanales; Solanaceae
Description: long non-coding RNA (CANN_LNC011680)
Source: RNAcentral